GGCAAAAGUAGAAAGUGAUGACAAGAAUAAUUUCUGUAAGUGUCUUAACAGUUUGAUGGAUUACUGAUUCUGAGAAAGAUUUUUGCAAAAGAGGAUUUCUCAUUACUUCUUUUAAAGUUCAUUGGAGUGCGAGCUUGAAGAUUUUCACUACUUCUUCCCCUCUCUACUUAUAAUUUCCUGGUUGAUGAGGACCUUAGCAUAGACGAAAAUAGUACAAAGAGAAAAAGUUAUUUAAAAC
This 238-nucleotide unclassified non-coding RNA is filed under the name Hevea brasiliensis (rubber tree). Lineage: Eukaryota; Viridiplantae; Streptophyta; Magnoliopsida; Malpighiales; Euphorbiaceae. The record is from RNAcentral.